GACGAACGCUGGCGGCGUGCUUAACACAUGCAAGUCGAACGGAAAGGCCCUGCUUUUGUGGGGUGCUCGAGUGGCGAACGGGUGAGUAACACGUGAGUAACCUGCCCUUGACUUUGGGAUAACUCUAGGAAACUGGGGCUAAUACCGGAUAGGAGCUCCUGCUGCAUGGUGGGGGUUGGAGAGUUUCGGCGGUGGGGGAUGGACUCGCUGCUUAUGAGCUUGAUGGUGGGGUAGUGGCUUACCAAGGCUGUGACGGGUAGCCGGCCUGGGAGGGUGACCGGCCACCUUGGGACUGAGAUACGGACCAGACUCCUACGGGCGGCAGUAGUGGGGAAUAUUGCACAAUAGGCGGAAGCCUGAUACAGCAACGCCGGGUGCGGGAUACCGGCCUUUGGGUUGUAAACAGCUUUCUAAUGUGACGAAGCGUGAGUGACGGUAAUGGGUAAAGAAGCACCGGCUAACUACGUG
RNAcentral lists this ribosomal RNA (468 nucleotides) under uncultured bacterium. Its description in RNAcentral is "partial 16S ribosomal RNA". It matches the Rfam family "Bacterial small subunit ribosomal RNA", at positions 28 to 507 of the family's 1533-position model. The record is from RNAcentral.